AACGAACGCUGGCGGCAUGCCUAACACAUGCAAGUCGAACGAGACCUUCGGGUCUAGUGGCGCACGGGUGCGUAACGCGUGGGAAUCUGCCCUUGGGUUCGGAAUAACAGUUAGAAAUGACUGCUAAUACCGGAUAAUGUCUUCGGACCAAAGAUUUAUCGCCCAGGGAUGAGCCCGCGUAGGAUUAGCUAGUUGGUGAGGUAAAGGCUCACCAAGGCGACGAUCCUUAGCUGGUCUGAGAGGAUGAUCAGCCACACUGGGACUGAGACACGGCCCAGACUCCUACGGGAGGCAGCAGUGGGGAAUAUUGGGACAAUGGGCGAAAGCCUGAUCCAGCAAUGCCGCGUGAGUGAUGAAGGCCUUAGGGUUGUAAAGCCCUUUCGGCGGGGACGAUGAUGACGGUACCCGCAGAAGAAGCCCCGGCUAACUUCGUGCCAGCAGCCGCGGUAAU
This 451-nucleotide ribosomal RNA is filed under the name uncultured bacterium. Its description in RNAcentral is "bacterial SSU rRNA". It matches the Rfam family "Bacterial small subunit ribosomal RNA", at positions 29 to 524 of the family's 1533-position model. The record is from RNAcentral.